Molecule: transfer RNA, 59 nt
Filed under: Mastinocerus sp. MAS01
Lineage: Eukaryota; Metazoa; Arthropoda; Insecta; Coleoptera; Phengodidae
Description: tRNA-Ser
Source: RNAcentral
GAAAUAAAAAAUUUAAAGCUUCUAACUUUAAUAACAAGCGAGCACUCGUUUAUAUUUCU